Molecule: non-coding RNA, 202 nt
Organism: Pelobates cultripes (western spadefoot toad)
Lineage: Eukaryota; Metazoa; Chordata; Amphibia; Anura; Pelobatidae
Source: the annotation of a GenBank genome assembly
GCCGAAAACAGUUCCAUAGAUUUAGCUGCACACACCGCUGACCGCAUUCGAAUUAGUUAAAAUGGCUGCCGCCACGUGUUCGUUUGUCGAAUGGCGGCCACUUCGACUACUUCGUCUGUAUCCGAAGUGCCACUUUAAAGUUGCAACACUGCUCCAAAGUAAUUAAAGGGCCAGAAUUAGCAUUAUAAAAAUCCAUUAUGCC